GCCUAAUGUGGUAGCAUGUACCUGCAGUCCAUCUAACUACUCCAGAAGCUAAGGCAGGAAAAUCACUUGAGACCAGAAGUUCUGGGCUAUAGUGCACUAUGCUCAUCAGCGUCCACACUAAGUUUGGCAUCAGUACAGUGAACUGGGAGUGAGGGACCACCAGAGUACCUAAGAAGGGGUGAACUAGCCCGGGUCAGAAAUGGAGCAGGUCAAAACUCUUCCUGAUUAGUAGUGGGAUCAUACCUAUGAAUAGCCACUGUACUCUAGCCUGGGCAACAUAGUUAGUCCUUGUCU
Unclassified non-coding RNA from Otolemur garnettii (small-eared galago), 294 nucleotides. It matches the Rfam family "Metazoan signal recognition particle RNA". From Rfam's summary of the family: The signal recognition particle (SRP) is a universally conserved ribonucleoprotein. It is involved in the co-translational targeting of proteins to membranes. The eukaryotic SRP consists of a 300-nucleotide 7S RNA and six proteins: SRPs 72, 68, 54, 19, 14, and 9. Lineage: Eukaryota; Metazoa; Chordata; Mammalia; Primates; Galagidae. The record is from Ensembl.